RNAcentral lists this long non-coding RNA (1365 nucleotides) under Phasianus colchicus (ring-necked pheasant). RNAcentral's name for it is "lncRNA (ENSPCLG00000018210.1)". Lineage: Eukaryota; Metazoa; Chordata; Aves; Galliformes; Phasianidae. The record is from RNAcentral.
GUUCUAUCUUACGAAGAAGUGCAGGAGUCAUUUUCCAUGCCUGAGAGCAAAUAAGCAUGAUCCUCCAAGCCCACGCGCUGUCUGGCGUGCUUCAGAUAGGAGGUGUUGGCCGCAGGACCCCAGUUCGUGGAGACAGUGAAGAUGACAGCCCGCAGAGGACACUGUGUCUGGCAGGCUCUGUGCAACAGUGUCCUUGCAGAGACAUUUGGGACCGAAGGGGAAAAGUAUUGUUGUCACUAGAUGGCACCGCACCGCCUUGCAGGAGACUGCGUGAGUGCUGCGAGGGUCAGGCACACCUCUGUCCCUGCAAGCAAGCCUUGCAGCCCAAUUUGCAACGAUACUCUGCUGAUCACUGUUCAGUUUAAUCUCACUACUGCUAACUACAAGCCUUCUGGACCCGUUUAACCGGCGUCUUGGUGAUAACCUUCGUGGCAGCUUCCUCUGGAUCAUCUGAUAGCAUUAGUGUGGCUGGGGAAGAAGCCCAGCUGGCUUAGCUGCCUGGGAACGGGCUUUCCUAAGGGACGUAGGCAGCUUUGCUCUUUGAGCAAUGCUCAGGACUCCCACAGUGUCUCAGAGGUGACUAAACUACAUUUGUGAAGAAGUACAGCAACUGUGCUUUGAUUUCAUGCGUAAUUGCUCAUCUUGGAACUGUUGCAGGCACGUGAGUUUGCUGAUAAGCCAAAUGCCAGACAGCAGAGCUGUCCUGAACACCACCAAGCUGCUGUUCACUAUACCACAAUGGCCUAAACCCCCAAAUUUGCUCUUUGCUUAACCUUAUAAACACUGUGUGGCUUCGAAUCAUUGGACACUCUGCCUUCCUCAUCUCAGGUCAUCAGCCAGGUUCCCAUUCUUCAGUCCCAAGAAAAUGGCUGUGAGGCUGUCCAUGGGUGAUGGUGAGGAAAUUCCUGUUGGCACAUGUGGAACAUUGAUGUUUCCCACUGUGGAAGUGGUCAAGUCCUGGAUGAGUCAUCCCAGGAGAGAUAUGGGAUAGCUGGUUCCCAGAUGUACCUAGGAAGCAUUACAACUAUCUCUGAACCAAAACCCUGUCUCUGAGCAAAUCCAAUGCCUACAUCAGACGUAGCUCUCAUAUUCCCAGCUCCUUUCCUGGCUGCAAGUGCCCCUCCAGAAGGAUCCUACACCAACACUUCCCAAAGAAGCAGUGGCCAAGAGGACAUGAAGUCUUUGCUAUUGUGGGGCUCUGAGUCAGAGGCUGGAGAGUGGUGUCAGUCUCUAAGAUAAACCAUGAAUCAUCGAGCACCAACCAGAACAAGUGAUGUUACUCACUCUGUAAAAGGCACACUGCAGCUAAUUCUGUGAUUGUAUUUAUCAGGAUAGCGUGGUGACUUCACAUGUUUUGAUAUUAAA